CGGGUGGCUGCAGUGGGGAAUUUUGGGCAAUGGGCGCAAGCCUGACCCAGCCACGCCGCGUGAGUGAUGAAGGCCUUCGGGUUGUAAAGCUCUGUCGAGAGGAACGAAACUAACGGGGUAAUGCCCGGAACUGACGGUACCUCUAAAGGAAGCACCGGCUAACUCUGUGCCAGCAGCCGCGGUAAUACAGAGGGUGCAAGCGUUGUUCGGAAUUAUUGGGCGUAAAGCGCGUGUAGGCGGUCUGUUAUGUCUGAUGUGAAAGCCCGUGGCUUAACUGCGGAAGUGCAUCAGAAACUGGCAGACUUGAGUACCGGAGAGGGUGGCGGAAUUCCCGGUGUAGAGGUGAAAUUCGUAGAGAUCGGGAGGAACACCCGUGGCGAAGGCGGCCACCUGGACGAGUACUGACGCUGAGACGCGAAAGCGUGGGUAGCAAACAGGAUUAGAUACCCCGGUAGUC
RNAcentral lists this ribosomal RNA (457 nucleotides) under uncultured microorganism. RNAcentral's name for it is "bacterial SSU rRNA". It matches the Rfam family "Bacterial small subunit ribosomal RNA", at positions 342 to 795 of the family's 1533-position model. The record is from RNAcentral.